Molecule: unclassified non-coding RNA, 906 nt
Filed under: Hevea brasiliensis (rubber tree)
Lineage: Eukaryota; Viridiplantae; Streptophyta; Magnoliopsida; Malpighiales; Euphorbiaceae
Source: RNAcentral
AAAAUAUGAUAUUUUACUAGAUAAAACUGAUUACAAGGCCAUAAGCUUACUCAAAGAAAAAAGCUACAACAACUUAAAAUCCAAGCCCAGUAAUAUAACACCCUAUUAACAUGGACCCCUAAAAUUAUAUGGGCUUGACCGGUUCCAACUUCUACAGAGCCAUCACUUGAUCCUUUAUACUGCCACUAACUACCGAGAGUUAAUUGCGUAAAAUUAGUAACAACAAACAUGCAGGGCAAAAAAAAAACUAUCAUCAGCCACAAAGGAAAGUAAAAAAUGCCCUACCCAGAUGCAAAGGUUGCUGCACAAAUCCUUCGAAUUGGGGCUAAGACCAAUGCCGAACGAAUUGGGAAGAGGCUUGGUAAACUACAAACCUCUCAUUCUCGUGUAGCUUUGAUGGAAAUGGUGACCAAAUGGUACUAACACCUCUGAAUAUGCUAGCAACGGGGAGACCCCAUGAGUCAGAAGAUGAACCAUCUAAGCACAUAUUUGCUUCGAAUCCCUCACCAUGAAGCACAAAAACUACAGCUCAACUAAACAAAAUCCAACAAAGCUAUACAUAACUCAACUGAAAAGGGAGAGGGAUAAGCCACCCUUCGGAUGGAGAAGGAGUCUUCCCCAGCCUAAAGGGCAGGGGAUGUUCACUAAAUAAAAGACUGGAGACCGAAAACGGUAAAAGCGAGAAGAAGAUAGACUCUCUCACUCAAAGGAAACUAAACUAUCUAUCCUUUUUACCCAAAGGGUAGGGGAUGGCCACUGAACAAAGGAUUGAGAUUCAAGACUAGAGAGGAGACAGGAGAAGAGAGACAUUUAGGGUCCUAAGUUGCUAUUCUUUACGAAAAUUCAUUUCUUUGGCAAGUCCUGCAAAAGCUACACCAACGCUGCUAAGAGAUUUUCUCAAGUUUU